Molecule: ribosomal RNA, 292 nt
Filed under: uncultured bacterium
Lineage: Bacteria
Description: partial 16S ribosomal RNA
Rfam family: Bacterial small subunit ribosomal RNA
Source: RNAcentral
GUGUCAGCCGCCGCGGUAAUACGGGGGUGGCAAGCGUUGUUCGGAAUUACUGGGCGUAAAGGGCGCGUAGGCGGGGAGGUAAGUCGGGUGUGAAAUCCCUCGGCUCAACCGAGGAACUGCGCCCGAGACUGCCUUUCUUGAGUCCCGGAGAGGAAGGUGGAAUUCCCGGUGUAGCGGUGAAAUGUGUAGAGAUCGGGAGGAACACCGGUGGCGAAGGCGGCCUUCUGGACGGUGACUGACGCUGAGGCGCGAAAGCGUGGGGAGCAAACGGGAUUAGAUACCCGGGUAGUCC